GCGGGAGUGGCGGAACUGGCAGACGCACUAGACUUAGGAUCUAGCGCCGUGAGGCGUGCAGGUUCGAUUCCUGUCUCCCGCACCA
Molecule: transfer RNA, 85 nt
Filed under: Acholeplasmataceae bacterium
Lineage: Bacteria; Bacillati; Mycoplasmatota; Mollicutes; Acholeplasmatales; Acholeplasmataceae
Also listed under: 1 other name
Description: tRNA-Leu
Rfam family: tRNA
About the family: Transfer RNA (tRNA) molecules are approximately 80 nucleotides in length.
Source: RNAcentral